Molecule: ribosomal RNA, 466 nt
Filed under: uncultured bacterium
Lineage: Bacteria
Description: partial 16S ribosomal RNA
Rfam family: Bacterial small subunit ribosomal RNA
Source: RNAcentral
GACGAACGCUGGCGGCGCGCCUAACACAUGCAAGUCGAACGAGCGAGAGAGAGCUUGCUUUCUCGAGCGAGUGGCGAACGGGUGAGUAACGCGUGAGGAACCUGCCUCAAAGAGGGGGACAACAGUUGGAAACGACUGCUAAUACCGCAUAAGCACACGGGUCGGCAUCGACCAGAGGGAAAAGGAGCAAUCCGCUUCGAUAAGGCCUCGCGUCCGAUUAGCUAGUUGGUGAGGUAAUGGCCCACCAAGGCGACGCUCGGUAGCCGGACUGAGAGGUUGAACCGCCACAUUGGGACUGAGACACGGCCCAGACUCCUACGGGAGGCAGCAGUGGGGAAUAUUGCACAAUGGGGGAAAUCCUGAUGCAGUGACGCCGCGUGGAGGAAGAAGGUCUUCGGAUUGUAAACUCCUGUUGUUGGGGAAGAUAAUGACGGUACCCAACAAGGAAGUGACGGCUAACUACGUG